AGGAGCAGCUGGGUGGCUACCCUGAAAUUUCAGGGAGGAAAGUCCGGGCUCCAGCAGACAUGGUGGCUCCUAACAGGAGCAGGUCGCAAGACCUGGAAAGUGCCACAGAAAUAAUACCGUUCGGGCAAAACCCGAAUAAGGGUGAAAUGGCGAGGUAAGAGCUCACCGCACCAGCAGUAAUGCUGGUGGCAAAGGCAAACCCCACCAGGAGAAAAACCAAGCAGGGUCUGGUCGUCUGCCCAUAAAGACCCGGGUAGGUUGCUUGAGUCAGGAAGUGAUUCCUGACCCAGAUGAAUUGCCACAUCCAACAGAACCCGGCUUACACGCUGCUCCUGAUA
RNAcentral lists this RNase P RNA (338 nucleotides) under bacterium. RNAcentral's name for it is "RNase P RNA component class A". It matches the Rfam family "Bacterial RNase P class A". Rfam says of the family: Ribonuclease P (RNase P) is a ubiquitous endoribonuclease, found in archaea, bacteria and eukarya as well as chloroplasts and mitochondria. The record is from RNAcentral.